UAAUACGGAGGGGGCCAGCGUUGUUCGGAAUUAUUGGGCGUAAAGGGCGCGUAGGCGGCUAGGUAAGUCAGAUGUGAAAGCCCGGGGCUCAACCCCGGAAGUGCAUUUGAAACUGCAAGACUUGAGUAUGGGAGAGGGAAGUGGAAUUCCAGGUGUAGAGGUGAAAUUCGUAGAUAUCUGGAGGAACACCGGUGGCGAAGGCGACUUCCUGGACCAAUACUGACGCUGAGAUGCGAAGGCGUGGGGAGCAAACAGGAUUAGAUACCCUGGUAGUCCACGCAGUAAACGUUGAUCACUAGGUGUAGCGGGUAUUGACCCCUGCUGUGCCGCAGUUAACGCAUUAAGUGAUCCGCCUGGGGAGUACGGUCGCAAGAUUA
This 377-nucleotide ribosomal RNA is filed under the name uncultured delta proteobacterium. Its description in RNAcentral is "bacterial SSU rRNA". It matches the Rfam family "Bacterial small subunit ribosomal RNA", at positions 521 to 896 of the family's 1533-position model. The record is from RNAcentral. Lineage: Bacteria; Deltaproteobacteria.